This 503-nucleotide ribosomal RNA is filed under the name Panorpodes paradoxus. Its description in RNAcentral is "partial 28S rRNA". Lineage: Eukaryota; Metazoa; Arthropoda; Insecta; Mecoptera; Panorpodidae. The record is from RNAcentral.
AAACCUGAGAAACCCGAAAGUUCGAAUGAAAAGAUUCAAUAUUCUUCAAUUGGUUGUACAUUUACAUUGUGAUUAUGUGAUAGUUUUGUGUUAAUUUCUUUAUCCUUAACUGGAUUUUGAAUGUACAUAUUCUACACCACUUUGUUUAUGAACUAAAUACAACUAUGAAGGUAUGCACUUCUUUUCUAGUAGGACGUUGCGACCCAUUGAAUGUUAAUCUACGGCUACUCGUUAGAGCCUAUUCCUAUUUUACUUAAUUGUAUUUAUAUGGAAAUAGAUUUCUGAGUGUGUCCCGAAUAACUGUUCGAUGGUAUUAUAAAACCAUAAUAUUGGAUCGCCACUUUGUCUGGGCAUUUUGGUAUUCAUUCAAGUAUGUAAGGUAAUUUAAAUGUCAGGGGCUCUUGUACUGGCUUUGAAUCCUAACUACUGUUCGAGUGAAAUUUACUAUCAAAUAGUAUCCUUUUAUUGGUCAGCAACGCUGUUGCUUUGGGUACUUCCAGGAC